AUUGUUGCAAACUCAAUUAGAAAUUUGAAUUGAGAUCAGUUUUGGAAAAAGGGAAAGGGGGAUGUGAAAAAAAAAUGGGGGGGGGGGUUAAAUUUUUCUCAUUUCAGAUUUCAUAAAUAAAAAGAAAAUUUCUUCAAACAUUUUUUUGAGAGGAUUAAUAUUCAACAGCAUAGUGAAUUGCUCAAAGGCAAAAAAAAAAUAUUUUAAGUUCAAUAGACCACAUUCAUUCUGUGUCAGAAACCUAUGCUGUGUCAACUAUUUAAUCACAAUCCAAAUUUAGAGCUGAAUCCAGCUUAAAUGUUGUGUCCAUACUUGCCCCAACUGUUCAGGGUUCAAUCUCUGUGGUCGUAUAUAGCUGCGCCCUGCGGAGCAUCUGGUUAGUUAUUAUCUUGAAUACCAUUAUAGAAAGAGAUAAACUGUAAACAGCA
This 428-nucleotide long non-coding RNA is filed under the name Mytilus galloprovincialis (Mediterranean mussel). The record is from RNAcentral. Lineage: Eukaryota; Metazoa; Mollusca; Bivalvia; Mytilida; Mytilidae.